Molecule: ribosomal RNA, 447 nt
Filed under: uncultured bacterium
Lineage: Bacteria
Description: partial 16S ribosomal RNA
Rfam family: Bacterial small subunit ribosomal RNA
Source: RNAcentral
AACGAACGCAGGCGGCAGGCUUAACACAUGCAAGUCGAACGCCCCGCAAGGGGAGUGGCAGACGGGUGAGUAACGCGUGGGAAUCUACCCAUCUCUGCGGAAUAGCUCUGGGAAACUGGAAUUAAUACCGCAUACGCCCUACGGGGGAAAGAUUUAUCGGGGAUGGAUGAGCCCGCGUUGGAUUAGCUAGUUGGUGGGGUAAAGGCCUACCAAGGCGACGAUCCAUAGCUGGUCUGAGAGGAUGAUCAGCCACAUUGGGACUGAGACACGGCCCAAACUCCUACGGGGGGCAGCAGUGGGGAAUAUUGGACAAUGGGCGCAAGCCUGAUCCAGCCAUGCCGCGUGAGUGAUGAAGGCCUUAGGGUUGUAAAGCUCUUUCACCGAUGAAGAUAAUGACGGUAGUCGGAGAAGAAGCCCCGGCUAACUUCGUGCCAGCCGCCGCAGUAA